This 760-nucleotide ribosomal RNA is filed under the name uncultured archaeon. RNAcentral describes it as "bacterial SSU rRNA". It matches the Rfam family "Archaeal small subunit ribosomal RNA", at positions 94 to 859 of the family's 1478-position model. The record is from RNAcentral.
UAACACGUGGACAAUCUGCCCUGGAGAGGAGGAUAAUCCCGGGAAACUGGGGGUAAUACUCCAUAUUUCGUGUUGACUGGAAUGUUACGCGAAAGAAAGAUCCGUCGCUUCAGGAUGAGUCUGCGGCCGAUUAGGUAGUUGUCGGGGUAACGUCCCAACAAGCCAGUGAUCGGUACGGGUUGUGGGAGCAAGAGCCCGGAGAUGGAUUCUGAGACACGAAUCCAGGCCCUACGGGGCGCAGCAGGCGCGAAAACUUUACAAUGCGGGCAACCGUGAUAAGGAAACCCCGAGUGCCAGCACAGGCUGGCUGUCCACCAGUGUAAAGAGCUGGUGAAGAAAGGGCCGGGCAAGACCGGUGCCAGCCGCCGCGGUAAUACCGGCGGCUCGAGUGGUGGCCGCUAUUACUGGGCUUAAAGGGUCCGUAGCUUGAUGUACAAGUCCCUUGAGAAAUCCGCCGGCUUAACUGGCGGGCGUUCAGGGGAAACUGUAUUUCUAGGGACUGGGAGAGGUGAGAUGUACUGCCGGGGUAGGAGUGAAAUCCUGUAAUCCCGGUGGGACGACCUAUGGCGAAGGCAUCUCACCAGAACGGGUCCGACAGUGAGGGACGAAAGCUGGGGGAGCAAACCGGAUUAGAUACCCGGGUAGUCCCAGCCGUAAACGAUGCGCGUUAGGUGUGUCAGUGACCACGCGUCACUGAGGUGCCGAAGGGAAACCGUGAAACGCGCCGCCUGGGGAGUACGGUCGCAAGGCUGAAACUUAA